Molecule: ribosomal RNA, 600 nt
Filed under: uncultured bacterium
Lineage: Bacteria
Description: bacterial SSU rRNA
Rfam family: Bacterial small subunit ribosomal RNA (bases 1-442)
Source: RNAcentral
GGAACACGUGUGUACUAGCUUUAUCUGGGGGAUAGCCUUUCGAAAGGAAGAUUAAUACCCCAUAAUAUGUUGAAUGGCAUCAUUCGACAUUGAAAACUCCGGUGGAUAGAGAUGGGCACGCGCAAGAUUAGAUAGUUGGUGAGGCAACGGCUCACCAAGUCUACGAUCUUUAGGGGGGCCUGAGAGGGUGAUCCCCCACACUGGUACUGAGACACGGACCAGACUCCUACGGGAGGCAGCAGUGAGGAAUAUUGGACAAUGGGUGAGAGCCUGAUCCAGCCAUCCCGCGUGAAGGACGACUGCCCUAUGGGUCGUCAAACCUCUUCCGUCAUACGGGAUAAACCUACCCUCGUGAGGGUAGCUGAAGGUACUAUCACGAAUAAGCACCCGGGCUAAACUCCGGUGCCAGCAAGCCCGCGGCUAAUAACGGACGGUUGCCAACNGCCGUNAAUCCCGGAAUCAAUNCCGGGNGCUACACCAAAAAGGGGUCCCGGAANNGACGGCAUCCUCGCAACAAGUNCAAGCUCGGCUGACACUUCUCCACACAAGCNUCUAAACCUCGUCCCANAAACCGCUCUGGCACCCACUCCAGGGCCUUCA